RNAcentral lists this ribosomal RNA (519 nucleotides) under uncultured eukaryote. RNAcentral describes it as "SSU rRNA". It matches the Rfam family "Eukaryotic small subunit ribosomal RNA", at positions 1161 to 1703 of the family's 1831-position model. The record is from RNAcentral.
AGGGCACCACCAGGAGUGGAGCCUGCGGCUUAAUUUGACUCAACACGGGAAAUCUCACCAGGCCCGGACACUGGAAGGAUUGACAGAUUGAGAGCUCUUUCUCGAUUCGGUGGGUGGUGGUGCAUGGCCGUUCUUAGUUGGUGGAGUGAUUUGUCUGGUUAAUUCCGAUAACGAACGAGACUCUGUCCUGCUAAAUAGUUCCCGCGUCCUUUGUUGCGCGGGAAAUUCUUCUUAGAGGGACUGGCGGCGUCUAGCCGCACGAGAUUGAGCAAUGACAGGUCUGUGAUGCCCUUAGAUGUUCUGGGCCGCACGCGCGCUACACUGAAGGGAUCAGCGUGUCUUCCCUUCCCGAGAGGGACGGGUAACCCGCUGAACCCCCUUCGUGGUAGGGAUCGGGGCUUGCAAUUAUUCCCCGUGAACCAGGAAUUCCCAGUAAGCGCAAGCCAUAAGCUUGCGUUGAUUACGUCCCUGCCCUUUGUACACACCGCCCGUCGCUACUACCGAUUGAACGUUUUAGUG